RNAcentral lists this ribosomal RNA (506 nucleotides) under uncultured bacterium. RNAcentral's name for it is "partial 16S ribosomal RNA". It matches the Rfam family "Bacterial small subunit ribosomal RNA", at positions 29 to 523 of the family's 1533-position model. The record is from RNAcentral.
AGUGAACGCUGGCGGUAGGCCUAACACAUGCAAGUCGAACGGCAGCACAGGAGAGCUUGCUCUCUGGGUGGCGAGUGGCGGACGGGUGAGGAAUACAUCGGAAUCUACUUUUUCGUGGGGGAUAACGUAGGGAAACUUACGCUAAUACCGCAUACGACCUACGGGUGAAAGCAGGGGAUCUUCGGACCUUGCGCGAUUGAAUGAGCCGAUGUCGGAUUAGCUAGUUGGCGGGGUAAAGGCCCACCAAGGCGACGAUCCGUAGCUGGUCUGAGAGGAUGAUCAGACACACUGGAACUGAGACACGGUCCAGCCUCCUACGGGAGGCAGCAGGGGGGAAUAUUGGACAAUGGGCGCAAGCCUGAUCCAGCCAUACCGCGUGGGUGAAGAAGGCCUUCGGGUUGUAAAGCCCUUUUGUUGGGAAAGAAAUCCAGCUGGUUAAUACCCGGUUGGGAUGACGGUACCCAAAGAAUAAGCACCGGCUAACUUCGUGCCAGCAGCCGCAGUAA